AAAAAGGUAAGCUAACUAAGCUAUCGGGUUCAUACCCCGCUCAUGAGGGUCUUAGCCCCUUCCUUUUUA
RNAcentral lists this transfer RNA (69 nucleotides) under Kaylathalia klovstadi. Its description in RNAcentral is "tRNA-Met". Lineage: Eukaryota; Metazoa; Arthropoda; Collembola; Entomobryomorpha; Isotomidae. The record is from RNAcentral.